CAAUAGCGUAUAUUAAUGUUGUUGCAGUUAAAAAGCUCGUAGUUGGAUUCCUGACCUGGGGUAGCCGGUCCGCCUUGCAAAAGGUGCGCACUGAGCGGCCUCGGUCAUCCUUGAGAAGAGCGGUCCUGGCAUUCAGUUGUCGGGGUCGGGAUUCUCGACGUUUACUGUGAAAAAAUCAGAGUGUUCAACGCAGGCUUACGCCUUGAAUACAUUAGCAUGGAAUAAUGAGAUAGGACCUUGGCGGUCUAUUUUGUUGGUUUGCACGCCGAGGUAAUGAUUAAAAGGGACGGUUGGGGUUCUUCGUAUUCAAUUGUCAGAGGUGAAAUUCUUGGAUUUAUGGAAGACGAACUGCUGCGAAAGCGUCGAACAAGGACGUUCUCAUUA
This 384-nucleotide ribosomal RNA is filed under the name uncultured eukaryote. RNAcentral's name for it is "partial 18S ribosomal RNA". It matches the Rfam family "Eukaryotic small subunit ribosomal RNA", at positions 592 to 975 of the family's 1831-position model. The record is from RNAcentral.